RNAcentral lists this ribosomal RNA (253 nucleotides) under uncultured bacterium. Its description in RNAcentral is "partial 16S ribosomal RNA". It matches the Rfam family "Bacterial small subunit ribosomal RNA", at positions 524 to 776 of the family's 1533-position model. The record is from RNAcentral.
UACGUAGGGGGCAAGCGUUGUCCGGAAUUAUUGGGCGUAAAGAGCGUGUAGGCGGUCCGGUAAGUCGGCUGUGAAAGUCCAGGACUCAACCCUGGGAUGCCGGUCGAUACUGCCGGACUAGAGUUCGGAAGAGGCGAGUGGAAUUCCCGGUGUAGCGGUGAAAUGCGCAGAUAUCGGGAGGAACACCUAUGGCGAAGGCAGCUCGCUGGGACGUUACUGACGCUGAGACGCGAAAGCGUGGGGAGCAAACAGG